AACGAACGCUGGUGGUAUGCUUAACACAUGCAAGUCGAACGGACAAGAAUAAAGCUUGCUUUAUUCAAGUUAGUGGCAAACGGGGUGAGUAACGCGUGGGAAUCUGCCCAUUAGUACGGAAUAACUUUUGGAAACAAAAGCUAAUACCGUAUGUUCUCUAAGGAGAAAAGAUUUAUCGCUAAUGGAUGAGCCCGCGUAAGAUUAGGUAGUUGGUGGGGUAAUGGCCUACCAAGCCGACGAUCUUUAGCUGGUCUGAGAGGAUGAUCAGCCACACUGGGACUGAGACACGGCCCAGACUCCUACGGGGGGGCAGCAGUGAGGAAUAUUGGACAAUGGGCGAAAGCCUGAUCCAGCAAUACCACGUGAAUGAUGAAGGCCUUAGGGUUGUAAAGUUCUUUUAAUAGGGUAAGAUAAUGACGGUACCUAUAG
Molecule: ribosomal RNA, 429 nt
Filed under: uncultured bacterium
Lineage: Bacteria
Description: bacterial SSU rRNA
Rfam family: Bacterial small subunit ribosomal RNA
Source: RNAcentral